UGAUUACCAAACAGCUUGAGCUCCCAAACAGGGCCUAAAUGUGUGCAAUUUGUGGCCCUUACUUAGGCCAUCGACUUUUUGGUCGCUGGGCAAACAAUGUGCAGAUGAUGUCCUCGCCGCCUCGUCCUCCUUUAUCCGGUCAAAUGCUAGAGCUGCUGAUGCUCAUGAAGCAGAUCCAAAUCCUCAAUUCCGUGCCGUUUCCUGUGAAAUUUUUAAGUUCUCGAUCUUUGACGAUUUGCUCCCCGCAAAGCAUCGAUGUUACUUCACUAAACAAACUGAUCAUGGGCUGCUCUAAAGCUGGUGAUUUGGUAUCUGCCCGGAGGCUGUUUGAUCAAAUGCCGGAACGAGAUGUUGUCUCCUGGAAUUCAAUCAUGACUGCUUAUGCAAAGAACGGUCGUUGCAAUGAAGUUAUUCGAAUCUUCUCGGAGAUGAAUGGUUGCAGACUGAUGCCGAACCAUACGUCCAUUUCCACUGUUUUGUCAGCUUGUGCGAAGCUCAGAGCUUUGGAGCAGGGGAAACAGAUUCAUGCGCUGUCUGUAAAGACCGGUUCUUCGGCGAAUGUAUUUGUGGGUACUUCUUUGAUUACAAUGUAUUCGAACUGCAAUGUCUCCGAUUGCUUGAUCCGGGUGUUUGAUGAUAUAGUUCGCCCAAACCUUGCGACGUGGAAUGCUUUGAUAUCGGGCUUUGCAAUCAACCGCAGGAUGAACUAUGCUCGUGAAGCUUUUGAUCGGAUGCCGAGACGAAAUGUUGUUUCUUGGACUGCCAUGAUUAAUGGGUAUGCUGAGGUUAAGAAAGUGAGAAUUGCACUGGAGCUGUUCAACUUGAUGCCUGCCAAGAAUGUGGUAACUUGGUCCGUAAUGUUAGGAGGCUUUGUUAGUAAUGGACAAUUUGAAGAGGCAAUUGAAUUCUUUGCUAAGAUGAUGAGUGAUGGAGUUCCAACUACUGCUGCUAGCAUUAUCAAGGUAACUAAUGCCUGUUCUGGUAUGAAAAAUGUCAAACAGGGCAGAAAGAUUCAUGGCUAUGCGAUAAAAUUCGGAUUUUUUCAUCUUGAUGAGGGCGUUGAGGCUUCAUUUGUUUUAAUGUAUUGUGAAUGUCUGAACAUAGAAGCAGCUAAGCUAGAAUUUGACAAAUUGGAAGGUAAGUUUAUCAGAUCGUGGAACUCCUUACUAUGCGGUUAUAUAAAUAACAAAAAUGUCAAUGAGGCCCGUAAAUUUUUUGAUCAUAUGGACAAAAAGGACAAGAUUUCUUGGAACUCAAUGAUUAAUGGUUAUCUGAAAGAUAAGAGAAUUGAUGCUGCUCUCGAAUUGUUCUCAGAGAUGCCCGAACCAACUGUGGAGUCAACUACAGCUUUGAUGUCAAGUUUUUUAGAAAAUGGAAAUCUAGAUGAAGCACAGAAAUUAUUUAACAAAAUGCUUGAAAAAGAUGUAAUGGCGUAUACGACUUUGAUACAUGGUUACGUGGAAGAAAGCCUAGUGGACAAGGCCUUGCAGCUUUUCAACAAGAUGCCUGAAAGAAAUACUGUCACAUAUAAUGUCAUGAUCUCUGGUUUACUUCAGCAUGGGAAGGUUGCCGAUGCUUAUAAGCUCUUUAAUGAGUCUCCCGAGCGUGAUGGUACAACUUGGGAUGCUUUAAUAUCGGGGAUUGUCCAGAAUGGGUUGUAUAAUGAGGCUUUUCCACUCUUUAAAAGGAUGGUAUUAUCUGAAAUAAGCCCGAGCGAGUUAGCUAUAGCUAGCCUUCUCACUGCUUCGUCAAGGUUAUCUCUACUGAUCCUUGGGGAACAAAUCCAUGCUGUUGUUAUCAAGCUUGGGCACGAAUCACACAUGGUGGUUGGAAACUCACUAAUAAAUAUGUACUGCAAGUGUGGGGAUAUGCUGCUAGCUAAACUAAUCUUUGACUGCAUGCCUGAGUGGGAUGUGGUGACGUGGAAUGCAAUGAUUAAUGGGUAUGCAUUUAAUGGCCUUGGUAAAAAUGCUAUCGAAAUGUUUGAGAUUAUGAAGAGGACGAAUACCAAACCUGAUGAGGUCACUUUUCUUGGUAUACUAUCUGCUUGUACGCACAUGUGCCUUUUGGAUGAAGCUCAGCAUUACAUUAGUUCUAUGAAAUAUGAUUAUGGAAUUUCACCUAAAUUAAUGCAUUAUGCUUGUAUAAUUGAUCUUUUAUGUCGGAUGGGUAUGGUUGAGCAGGCUGAGAAAUUGGCUUACUCGAUGCCUUUUGAACCAGAUUCUGUGAUAUGGACUUCGCUUCUGAGUGGGUGCAGAUUAAAUUGCAAUACUAAAUUAGCAGAAAAUGCAGCUAACCAGCUAUCUGCUUGUGAUGCAAGGGACCCAAUGCCAUAUUUGCAUCUUAUCAGUGUUUAUGGGUCAGCUGGGAGAUGGGAUGAUAUAGAAAAAUUGAGAAUUCAAAAAAAGAUACUUGGGUCUAAUAAACGACCUGGUUGCAGCUGGAUAUAGACUUCCAUCCAAGGGAAUAGAGAGGGGAAGAAGAGAAAAAGCGGCGGAACAUGGAGCCGGGCAGCUGCGAACCGCCAUCCGACAUCGGAGAAGGGGAAGAAGAAGCGACGACGGCUUGGACUGCGGCAGCUCCGAAGGCGACGAAGGCGGCCUACCCGAUUGUGAGCUCGGCACAGAGGAUGGGGGAAUAGCCCCUGCUCGGCCUUUUGUUUGGGGUGAUCGGAGGUGGGAUCGUCUUCCGGGAUGCGGAGGGUGCCGUGGCGAAAGCGGCGAUGGCGGGAGCGACGCUGCAGGGGAGAUCAUGGAAGAAGAAGAGAAGAAUAGUUUUCAGAUGAUACUGGCAUACUACUGGGACUUGCCUUUUGAUGCUUACAAGUUCCUUAGCCCAUCAAAGAAGAAUAGAUUUUGCAACCGGGUGAUCGAUGGGGUGGCAAGCAUAAAAAUGACUUCUUGUGGGGUGGCACCUGGAGGUUUAUAUUGUACAAAGCAUGAAAAUGACUUCUUGUGGGGUGAACAUUGUGUAGGUUAUGUCCUUGCUUUUUAUGGAAGCCAUGAUCAAUGGAACUGCAGAACGAUCUUCUAUCCAUGUCACCUGUGGAGGCACUCUCUACCAAGUUCAUGGGAAAGAGCUCUGCUGAGUCGCAUAGAUUAUGAGAACUAUGAUGACCACCAGAAUGUGAUGAAGGUGGUUGGGACAUGGUGAUCAAAUGCAGAGAAAACUGUUGAUAGCUAUCAUUAUCAAGGAAUCAGAAGCUGACAGAGAGGUUUGCCCCCAUGGAUACGGCACAUGGUGGUUGAAUUGAAAGGCUAUAUGAUUCAGAGGAGGGUAGAUUCUCGAUGAGCCUGCAGUCCCAUCUAGAAUGAAUGAAACCAUUGGUUUGUCAGUGGUAAAGGGCUUGAGUUGAGAAGCGCAAUGGCCCGGGGUGGAGUCUUGGAAGUCGCCACUUUGUGCAAAAAGUGCCAAAGGAUGGAAAAAGAAGGUAAGCCUCCAAAAUUUCUCCGAUCUGAAAAAAGGAAAAAGUUCCGCAUUUCAGGAAAUCCCCCUUUUCACUGAUAACCCUGUGAUGAAGUAUCUAGAGCCAAAGCCAGGAGGUGGGGAAAAAAUUGAUUUUUGGACAAUAAGAACUGCUUAAUAUAGGCAAAGACGUUAAUUGGUUUCUUUCUAGUCUUCUUGACACAGUAGAGAAAAUAUGCAUACCAUGGUAAGGUGGUGGGCUUCUUUCCAUCCACAGGAGUUGAGUUUAGAAAAAUAAAGGGUAGAUUAUUGAGAAUAAAGCAGUUGCUGGAGUUUGUUGCUUUUUAUCAUACAAAAGGUGAUCACUGCUCGGAGGUCUUAGUGGGGGGAGUAAGUGUGCUUUUCGGUGUGUCUUUCUAUUUCAAUGUUUUUUUUUGUUCACAUGUUGCAAGCUUUCUCUCCCGAAAUUUCCAUAAAGUUUCAUUUAUAACCAUUCAUCGUCUCUGUGUGGUGGUAAUAUUUUACAAACGAAAAUAAGCUUUGCUCAAAUAUCAAGCCUACCUGAUCUGUCGCCGAGGUUUUUCUUCUGAUCGGUGUAUAUAUUUUUGAAGUGUAUUCUAUAGAUGACAACAAGUGCAUGUCUGUUUGGGCCAGUUGGUUGGCAGGGAGAUAUCUUAAAAGAAAAAUUUCUGACAUAUUUUAUCUACUGCCAUGUAUCUAAUGAAGAAUGCAUGCCUGUUGUUUUCCAUUUCUUUUUAAUUAGAUAUCUAUGCAAUUAUCCUGCUUACUCAAACAUCAUUGAUGAAAACUUAGAAUUUUGGAGAUGGAGUUCUACAAAAUGAUAAGAAAAUAACACUGCUGAUUGUUAACCAUGGUCUUGUUUGAAACCUCCAAGUGUUUUAGUUUGUUUUGGCACUUAUACGAUAACAACCUUUUGUUUUGAGCAAAGCACCACACAUUUUAUUACAGGAAAAAUAGAAGGAAAAAAAGAGAGAAAAAUCCUCAACUCUCUGCACUAGAGGCGCAGAGACACAUCCUGCUUCUGCCAGGCUCCGCUGCUGCCAAACUUGUCCACCGCCAGGGUCAGCUGUGCUCCUCCCAUCUGAAUGGCUCCCGUUCUUCGUCACCGGCCGGCCCAAGGCCGAUCACACCGAUAUGGCUGUAAUGACCAUAAUUUGAACAUGUUUAAGUGUUCUACAGCAUUAAUUGGUUAGAGAUAUGUAAAAGUUCUUUUUAUUUCUGAGAUAAGCUUGUGCUUCUUUAGUUCAUGUACUCAGCUAAGAUGACCUUCAGGCUUGUGUGGAGCGCUCAUAGUUUUAUUAGAGAUUUCUAAGGACUUGCAA
Non-coding RNA from Phoenix dactylifera (date palm), 4748 nucleotides. The record is from RefSeq and is a predicted model, not a curated record. Lineage: Eukaryota; Viridiplantae; Streptophyta; Magnoliopsida; Arecales; Arecaceae.